RNAcentral lists this transfer RNA (73 nucleotides) under Ipomoea nil (Japanese morning glory). It matches the Rfam family "tRNA". From Rfam's summary of the family: Transfer RNA (tRNA) molecules are approximately 80 nucleotides in length. Their secondary structure includes four short double-helical elements and three loops (D, anti-codon, and T loops). Lineage: Eukaryota; Viridiplantae; Streptophyta; Magnoliopsida; Solanales; Convolvulaceae. The record is from Rfam by way of RNAcentral.
GUCGUUGUAGUAUAGUGGUGAGUAUCCCCGCCUGUCACGCGGGAGACCUCGGGUUCGAUCCCCGGCAACGGCG